AAAGUCGUAACAAGGUUUCCGUAGGUGAACCUGCGGAAGGAUCAUUAGUAUGAUGCAUAUGGCAUUCAUUAUCAAUGGAUGAACAUAUAAACCCACCUGCGUACCACUCCUGUUGCUUCCGUGGGGCGGUGACCGAUGUCGCCGCCGAAGGGGAAGGCUCCGGCCAUCCGAAGGCGAGACCCCACGGGAGGUAUAACAUAAACUACUUGCAUCUUCAUGCUCUUAGUCUGUACAUAAUCCAUAAACAUUAAAACUUUCAACAACGGAUCUCUUGGUUCUC
This 280-nucleotide unclassified non-coding RNA is filed under the name Ascomycota sp. Its description in RNAcentral is "partial contains small subunit ribosomal RNA, internal transcribed spacer 1, and 5.8S ribosomal RNA". The stretch from base 1 to 47 matches the Rfam family "Eukaryotic small subunit ribosomal RNA", at positions 1785 to 1831 of the family's 1831-position model. Lineage: Eukaryota; Fungi; Ascomycota. The record is from RNAcentral.